This 730-nucleotide ribosomal RNA is filed under the name uncultured bacterium. RNAcentral describes it as "bacterial SSU rRNA". It matches the Rfam family "Bacterial small subunit ribosomal RNA", at positions 771 to 1501 of the family's 1533-position model. The record is from RNAcentral.
AACAGGAUUAGAUACCCUGGUAGUCCACGCCGUAAACGAUGUCGACUUGGAGGUUGUGCCCUUGAGGCGUGGCUUCCGGAGCUAACGCGUUAAGUCGACCGCCUGGGGAGUACGGCCGCAAGGUUAAAACUCAAAUGAAUUGACGGGGGCCCGCACAAGCGGUGGAGCAUGUGGUUUAAUUCGAUGCAACGCGAAGAACCUUACCUACUCUUGACAUCCAGAGAACUUAGCAGAGAUGCUUUGGUGCCUUCGGGAACUCUGAGACAGGUGCUGCAUGGCUGUCGUCAGCUCGUGUUGUGAAAUGUUGGGUUAAGUCCCGCAACGAGCGCAACCCUUAUCCUUUGUUGCCAGCGGUUAGGCCGGGAACUCAAAGGAGACUGCCAGUGAUAAACUGGAGGAAGGUGGGGAUGACGUCAAGUCAUCAUGGCCCUUACGAGUAGGGCUACACACGUGCUACAAUGGCGCAUACAAAGAGAAGCGACCUCGCGAGAGCAAGCGGACCUCAUAAAGUAUGUCGUAGUCCGGAUUGGAGUCUGCAACUCGACUCCAUGAAGUCGGAAUCGCUAGUAAUCGUGGAUCAGAAUGCCACGGUGAAUACGUUCCCGGGCCUUGUACACACCGCCCGUCACACCAUGGGAGUGGGUUGCAAAAGAAGUAGGUAGCUUAACCUUCGGGAGGGCGCUUACCACUUUGUGAUUCAUGACUGGGGUGAAGUCGUAACAAGGUAACC